ACGAGAUCACCAUACCCCCGUGCUAGGGUUCCGUCCGCCGCCGCGCCUCACCCUCCGCUCCCAACAACGCUCCCUACUCUCCCGUCCCCUUGCAGUUGCCGUCGUAAUCUCCCGUCGCCGGUCAAUAGCCCUGAAGAAGCCCCGGCCUCCGGCUCCCUGGAGCACGCCGCUCGCCGGCAGCCACGAUUGAACGCCGGUGGACGCCAUAAUUGUGUGAGACCCCGCCGCGGCAACUCAACUCGCCACCGCUGCACCAGUCAAUUUACCUUGUCGCCACUGCGCCUCCCCAAGCAUCUUCGCAAUGUGCGCAAGGAUACCGCUGCCUUUCCGUGGCACCUCUGUCUCCACUUCCCCGUGGCGCUGCUCGCCGGCUCCACAACCAUGUCCUCUCCAAUCCAGUGUGGCUCACGAACUGCUGCAGAGAUGAUGCUUGUCGGAUCCCAUGCAGGCCCUCCUUGCGGACAACCUCCAGCCCACACCAGUUCCCCUGUUCUGGCUGUGCCACCUCCCAUGGCUGAGCAGAGCAAGGAGAUCGAGAGAGAAAAUACUCAAUUGAUUUUACAGGGCAUGGAGAUUGUUUUUGAUCUUUUUGGUUGUUCGCGGAUUCAAGGGUAAUGGCUCCCACACCUUUCCCCAAUGUCUAGGCAAAGGCCAGUCUGUUUCAAAAAAAAUUGUAGCUUGACCGGGCUGAAGGAAGGAGAUGCUAUGCAAACCGAGAAUGAGCAUGACAAGCAAAGCGACAAAUCAAUUGUGCUGCCGGAUGUUGGCUGGGUGAUUGAUCAAUAUAGAUGGAAGCUUCUUGAGGAAAGCCAAACAAGGGGCUGGGACUUGAUAUUUACAGUUUCGGGUGCAGCAGUGUUGCUAGCAUCUUUUUUCUUGCAUCUAUAUACUGAUGAUGCUUUAUUUGGUGUUGUUUCCCGUGGCACUACAUUAUGGCUUUCUUGACAAUGAUUUUUGCUGAUGUGAUAGUUUAUUUUUAUUUUUUCACUUUCAGUGUAAGGUAAGUGCAAGUAAAACUUCAGUUUCACAUUGGCUAAAUCAGUCAAUGUUGUUUAUGCUCCGGCAGCAGUAGAGGAAUAGAGCUGGCAAGGAAGGGAUCUGUUGGUGGAAUUAAUAGGGAAAGUAAUUCAUGAAGUGCCUGGUUGGACCAAGAGGUAAUUCACUGUUUUCUGUGUACCAUGCAGACCUCCCUGUUUUCCGUGUACCAUGCAGUAGUUGAUGCAGACUAUUUUUGCGCCCAAAUACCAACAUGGAUUAGGCGUUAGUAGUUUCUGAAUUGUAGUGUAGAAAACAUUGUGUAGCUUAUUGCGGUAGCAUUUUUUAUGGACCAAUUUUGUGUUUGAGGCCGAGGUUGGGGGCGCAACUCCUGACGGGGCACCAUGCCCUACGAAGGUACAAGUGGCUCAUGAGUUCAUGGCAUGGUUGGCGCUGGAAUGACAAAGAAGAUUAAUGGGGUUGAUUGUGAGCAUGCUACAACUGAAUGGCAAGUAGAUAGUCCUAUGAUUUCUGAUGGAUUGGAGAUGGGAGGGUGUGGUCACUGGUUUCUGUAUUUUUUUGUUCGAGCAAGGACAGCGGAAGGAUCUGUUGUCCAAUAGGAAAACCUAAGCGACGAUACUGAAUCAUGAGAUAGGACACACGAGCUUGCAAUGGUUGUAUUUGAGUGCCUGGCCACGGUGGAAUUUAGUACGGGCUCUCCUCUACGCCCUAGAGUAUUCUUUCUAUUUAUUUAAUUGAAUAUGAGAAUCCACCCAGGGAACCAACAUCCAUCUUCUGAUCUUUGCCUUGCCUUGAGUGCAAUUUCAGCUUGUCCGGUAGUGCUCAUGACAAAUAUCUACAAUGAAGAACGAAAUACUUGGAGAUAGGCUACCAAUUCGGUAAGAAUAAUAGAAUAUAGAUGUCAUGGAUCUGCUUUUAACUAUUACUGUGCUUAGAUUUGAUCACCCGUUUUUGGGCUGUACUGCAGCCUAAAUGUGCUCCUGCUUGCUGUUGCUAAACAUUUAUAUUUCCUGAUAGAUUAUGAUCCCCCUCCCCCCUUUACUCAGUUUGGGCCUGCUUGAGCGGAUGCAUACUAAAUUGUAAAAGAAGAGAAACUGAAUAACUGAAUAUGAUGGCAGGUGUUCGACUCAGGUUUAGACAUUGGGGCACGUGAUGUGUCAAUCAAACAUACUAUAGCCCUCAUAUAACGGAUGAUGCUGUUUGCAAAUUAAGAAUUGAAUGAUGCAAAGAGAUUCAUGAUGUAGAAGAACUUACAAGGAUGCCCCUAUAUAAUCGGCCCCACAUUGGCUUGAAGAGAUGCAAAUGUUUCAACUUCGCCGGAGGUUCUAUGUUGGAAGUUGUGUGUGUGGGUGGUUCAAGAUCCAGAGGUUAGCUAUUCCUUGCAGCUUAUAUCAUGGAACGGGACACCACUGAGGGUUUUCUAAGUCAUUGCCAGAGUCUCAUAAUACCAUAUCCUCUUGGGGUCGUCCUAUACUGGGUCCACACUAUUGUCGCCUAUGUCGUCCCGGUAAAUAUAUAGACAAAGGAGGUACAUGGUUUGCUUCUUUCAAGACAAUAAGCAAGUUAUAUGAACAAAUUGCAUUACAUGUACUCCCUCCGCUCCUAAAUACUAUACAUGAAAGUUGCACUUGGAUUCCAUAUCUUGCAUUAAUUCUUCAAACAAAAAAUCUGCAGUGUGUGCAGUGGAUGAGGAUCAUCCAGCACGCUGCUGGCCAUUUGAUCCUGUGACGUGCUAGCUGGAACCUCCUUGACAAGCUGCUUGCUGGAUGAGAGGGCGACUUAGGACAUGAUCAAGUUUGCCCAUAUCGUUUGGUUGCAAUUUUAUCAUACUAGCAAAUUUGUUUGAGUUGAAACUGAAUGGAAUUCAUGAGAAAACUGCAGGAUGUUGAGUGUGAGGCGACCGAAGAGACCAAAUUGUUGAGGCGACACGGGUCAAAGCGGAGGAGCAGGGCAGCUCAAGUUCAUAACCGGUCAGAGAGGAUGAGAUCAGAAUCAGAUGCUACCCGUGUCGUAAUGUUACAAUCGAGCAAGGGGGCUUGUUCUUGGAUUGUUUCUUUCUUUGGUAGGACAAGGUAGUUCUCUAGAUUAUAAGCAUAAUAAUUACUUGCAAGUUGUCAAGAAUUAUUUGUUUUGCAACUAUAAGAUGAUCAGACAGACUCAAGGGUAUAACUUGUAAUAUGACAGUUCUUGAAUUAGUUGUUUCAUGCCAUUUGAAAUGUUUUACAUAACACAUUGGACAGUAUAGUUAAAUGGUUGGUUUCAUUCGUUA
This is a long non-coding RNA of Triticum dicoccoides, 3265 nucleotides long. RefSeq lists it as uncharacterized. The record is from RefSeq and is a predicted model, not a curated record. Lineage: Eukaryota; Viridiplantae; Streptophyta; Magnoliopsida; Poales; Poaceae. The transcript is spliced from 3 exons.